RNA transcript from Bacillus rossius redtenbacheri, 12289 nucleotides. RefSeq lists it as uncharacterized. The record is from RefSeq and is a predicted model, not a curated record. Lineage: Eukaryota; Metazoa; Arthropoda; Insecta; Phasmatodea; Bacillidae. The transcript has 2 exons.
CUUACAUUUUGUCUAUUUUAUGUUUGGGUAAAUGUUUUUGAAACGCGAAAACUGUCAUGGCCGCAAUGUAUGUGUGCGUCUGUUGCUGUUGCUGUUCAAAUGCAUAAUUUUGACUCCGGUGUCAUUGGCCCCAUAUCCUACAAUACAUGUUGACAAAAUGGUUGAUUUGUGGCUGAAAUUCUAUUUAUUGUUUUGGAAAAAGAUUUGUCUUAUUGACAGUUGUUUGCAUUUGUUUACUUAGUAUACGUUCAAUGAUUUUGGUUGUGUUGUUUAAACAGACAAAUUGAUCUUCUAUUCUGAGGAAAUUUCGCAUUUUUCCGUGGCUUCGAUUUAGUUAUUUUGGCAUUUUUCCACUGUUGAGGGAAUUUCGUUGUACUCGAGGAAAUUUUGUCCAAAAUUACUAAUAGGUGUUGUUUUGUAGUAAGUGUUAGGUGGAUAAUAGCUUCAAUUUGGUUUUGUACCAGGUCCUGGGAGCUUUAUUUUUAGGUAGUGUUGUUAUUACCUUAUCAAAUUUUUUUAGUGAUAAGUUUUUAAUAUUCCUUUCGGGUUCUUUUCUUUCGCUUGAACGAUUGAUUUUGAAGUAUGUAAAUGGUUUUUAUCAAUUAGUGUGAAGUUCGGUUCAGACUUUUUCUAGAAAAUCUGCAGUAGAAUACACUUUUUCUUGUCAGUAAACAAUACCUCUUUCACCAUAGAUAAUUGGUACAGUAUGUUAAGUUUUAAUUUUAUUUUCGGCAUCUCAUUUAAGGUGCCUCUCUAGUAAAUUUUUUUAGCACGUUCGACUACUGGCUACGUGUUGCAGCUAGUAGAUGGGCGGAGUGAAAUAUGUUAUCUUGCAAAGUGGUGAAGAAGUAGAUAAAUAUGUAGUUGAGCGGUAUUUGCGAAAAAAAAUGUAAAAAAUCCUUAAAUACCUUUAUUGUAUGCUCUUUAACUUCCUCUUUUCAUUAAAAGCGGCGGAGGUAAGAAAUUCUAAAUACUUUAGGAGAUAUCGAAUUUUUAAGUUUCAUCAUAUGUAGUUCAGCGGUAAUUGCGAAAAAAAAAAUGUUAAAAAUCCGAAAAUACCUUUAUCAUAAGCUCUUCAACUUCCGCUUUUCAUUAAAAGUGGCGGAGAUAAAUUCCAAAUACUUUAGGAGAUAUUGAAUUUUUAAAUAUCAUCACAAUACCAGAGCAUUCAUGUGGCUUGACCAUUGUUUCUUGUUUACGAGUAUCUACUUUUUUUAUUGGAUAAUGAUGUCACGUGAUAGUUCGUGAUAGGCCAGAAUUCAAAUGAACCAAUACGUGAUUAUUUAGUUCAUUUAUUGUUUAAAACAGUGUUUAAUUACCGCCUCCAACUUAGGUGAGUUUUUAACGUUUCUAAUUUUAAAGUCAUAUUUGUAAUUUUGAUAUUUUUGCGCAAGUAAUAAGUAACAAAAAAAAUUUACGUGAGUUGUUACUGUUCAUCCUUUGUUACGGGUUAGUUAGGUACGGUCAGUUACAUUAUAAAUACUUUAAAACUACAGAACCAUUGAAGUUAAUAUAUUAUUUUUAAUGUACGCUUUGUUUCAAAGUAUUUAUAAUGUAACUGACCUGACCUAAUCGACCAUUUUCAUUAAUUAGGCAUUCACAAACACAUGCCAGUAACAAAAAUGGUGUCGGUCUAAUGAUUACAGAGGUCUUGUAUAGCAAAAUAAGAACGGCAAUAUCUCCUAAAGUACAUAUUUGUAAUUUCUUAUCUCCGCCGCUUUUAAUGAAAAGAGGAAGUUGAAGAGCAUAUAAUAAAGGUAUUUUUUGAUUUUUAAAUUUUUUUUCCGCAAAUACUGCUGAACUACAUAUGAUGAAACUUAAAAAUUCUAUAUCUCCUAAAGUAUUUGGAAUUUCUUACCUCUGCCACUUUUAAUGAAAAGAGGAAGUUGAAGAGCAUACAAUAAAGGUAUUUUUGGAUUUUUAACAUUUUUUUUUUCACAAAUACCGCUGAACUACAUAUGAUGAAACUUAAAAAUUCCAUAUCUCCUAAAGUAUUUGGAAUUUCUUACCUCUGCCGCUUUUAAUGAAAAGAGGAAGUUAAAGAGCAUACAAUAAAGGUAUUUUCGGAUUAAAAUGCUUUUACACCAUUUAUAUAGUUCAGACCUUCCACUACCUACAUUAUGAGGACUUAAUUAGUGUAUUUUCUAUUUUAAAUUAAAAGAAAAUUCAAGACAUGUUAUGAAAACAAAAAUUUUAAUGUUAUAUGUGAUUUUUGAGGAAAUAUGGUUAAACUAUUUGAAAUAUUUCAGUUCUACAAAUCUCAAAGUAAAGUGCAUAUCUUCCUCUUCAAUUUGGUUGGUUAUAUGAUCCAGAUAGGUCUUAUGACCAUAGAGUAAGCAUUCAAAUUCUUCUUGGUACUCUUAAAAAAGUUUUUUUCACAAUGUCUUAUCACUAAAUUAUUUUAACUAAAGGGACAAAAGUUGUUUACACAAAAUAUAACUUUACUGUUUUGUAAAAUAUAUAAUUUAUGUUGACAAAAUAGAGCACAAACUAAUUGUUUCGAAAUUUUUUGAGGGUGUGAUAGUUUUUGAAACAGUGAUCAGGGUGAAGUCCAGGUUGUCGUGGACACGUUUCACAAAAGAAUACUGUCUCUCUUCUUCCUCCCUUCGCUUUUCUGUUGGAGCACACUGCACAGUCUUUGUGCUUUCUUCCCUCUAGCUUUCCUAUCACAUGAAGCUUACCAUCUAAAUGUUUCUCUUGAUCACUAGUCGAUGGUCUUCCACGUUUUCGAGAUUGAUUGCGUACGUUACCAACAAGACCUUCAAUAACAUGUUUCCUGAAUGUUUUGUGUAGCAAAACAGGCAUGUUUUGUUUAGUUUGGUACAUGUUAUACAAUUGAAAACUAUUUACAAGUGAGACUUCUAAAAUCCAAAAAUAAAGUUUGCUCCACCACUUCAAACUUUUUUUCACAAAACCAUAACUGGUGCAAUAAUUAUCUGCUCGGUCAACAGCUCCCAUGUGUGCUGUGUAGUCUAUUACUACCUGUGGCUUAGGAAUCUCUUCAUUUUGGUUUUUUGUAGUUCUCUGUACCAUCAUCACAUUAGAAUUGUGACAUGUACUCAACAUAGUUAUAUAUCGUUUAUCAUGCCAAGCUAGCACCAUUAUUUUAUCAUCUUUUCUGUAGGCUUUCACAUCAUGUACUUUGAGUUUUAGGUUUUUAUUCCUAAUUUGAAUUGGAAGUCCCUUCCUAUUUUGCAGUACAGUUCCUGUCAGAUAAAUACCCUUUUUCAAAAGCUCAUUUGCAAGGUCAACACCUGUAUAAAAUCUAUCUCUAUAGAGGAAGUACCCCACUUUGUGUAAUGUUUUGAACCAUUGCUAUCAAUUCCAAAAUUAUACGAGAAGUGAAAGUAAGAUCGGGUCGUAAUAAGGCAUUUAGUUACAGAACCAUAAUAUGGUAUCAGAACUAAAAUGUAACCAUUCAGUGAAUCUGCUAUUACAUAAAUCCGAAGACCCCACUCAGUUGGUUUUUGUGGGUUAUACAUUUUGAAAACAACCCUGCCCUUGAAAUUUACAGUAGAUUCAUCUGCUGCUAAAUGUUGACUUGGACUAUAGUAUUCUAAAAAUUUACUGCCAGUAUAUUCAACAGUGUUUUUCACUUUGCUGAGCCUAGACAUUAUUGGCCUACAUUCUCUUUUUGCAGCAUCGGGAGGAGACACGGAGACACAUGUAAUGCCCAAAAAAUUUGCCAAAAACGUUUCCGGGUGAAAAUAUCUUUGAAAAAUCCAGAUGAAUCCAACUAAUCCUCUGAAAAAAGUCUUGCAGAGAUGUUUUUGUUUUUCGUCCCAUAUUCAACAAAACUCUGUGGAAAGCCAUAAUUUCUUCCAGAGAUACAUCUGUCCACCCCCACCAAAUUGAAUGUUGCUUCAGUGGCAUAAUCUUAGAAAUUUUUUUGUUUUGCAUAGGCAUUUGUUUUUGCUGCAAUUUGCUGGAAAAGACUAACACUGAAAAAAGUUGAAAAAACUGUACAGCAUUAGUUGGUUUAUCAUGUAAAGGUGGCCUAUAACCUGUAUCGUUUGAGUCAAAUGGAAGACAAUCAAAAUCGCGGUCAGUUUCGGUGCACUCCUUCCAAUCAUCACAAACAAUGUCUUGUACCUCACUCUCACUAUCACUGUUUUCAUUGCUGGAAACCACAUUACUAUCAUCAGAUAAAAAGAAAUCAGAAUCUUCAUUAUAAUCUUCUAAAUCACUACCAAACCCUUGAAAAUCACUUUCGCGGCUUGUUGACAUUGUUGCAACCAGGAGUGUUUUCAUAGACAUAGCUAUACAGUGGUGCACCUAGGAAACAAAAUAUGAAAUAAAUUUCAUAGACGUAUGAACUAAAAUACAUAUAGUAACCUUUGCCUGAGACCUUUACUAACAACAUAGAGAAAUAUGGUUGUGUUCCAAAACAUCCAUAGAACAUUCUAAUGUCAUUUAGAUGUCUGGAGAACCAGGCUCGACAAAGGAUUGGAACAGGAAAUAAAAGAUGGAGAACCUGGCUCGACAUAGGAGUGCAAAGAGUUAAUUCUGUUUUAACAUUUUUGAAUUCACAUAAUACGUAAUCAAUAGAUUUACAUUCAUUUCAAACAUUUAUGGCACCAUAAAAUGACGAGGUAGCUCGGGUUUUCAAAUCACAAAUCACAAAAGUCUCCAACAUUUUAUUUUCAAAAUAAUAUCUAGGCGAUGAAAGGUUUUCCACACAGUUACGCGUACAUUUACAUAAAUCUUCCAUACCGCAACUAUAAUCACUUUUUACUAAUAGAUUGUAUUCUAAAACUAGAAAUAAAAACAUUGAAAAUGAAGCAUUAAUACUCAUACACAUAUAAAUUUAUUUUGAAAUUGCAAAAUAUCUUUUGAAUUUGCAAUCACUAAACUACAAACAAAUAUUUAACCUAUUUCCUAAAGAAAUUGUGCAAGUCAAACUCACUUCCCAAUUCUGUAAAUCACAAUCUAACUUUGGGGAAAAAAAUUGGUGUUCGCACCGACAUAUUGUGAGCUCUGUAUUCUACAGGGUGGGCAAAAAGUUCCAUUACCCCCCUACUAACAUGUUAAAUGGUGAAUAUGUUGGACCAAUACACAGUACCACCAAUACAUACACACCAGUUUUGUCUUUAACUGUCCACAACAUCUGUUUGCAUCCCGUCAUUCUCCGAACACAAAAUAAUUUGGCGCCACGUUCUGUGUGACAUUUUGCGCAGCAUCGCUGGAGUAACCCUUUGAAAUGCCUGCCUCACGGCCUCCUUCAAGUCAUCAACAUUUGCAUACCGCUGCUCAGCAACAAUGUCUUUGAUGAACCCCCAGAGUGAAUUGUCACAUGUUGUGAGGUCGGGGCUACGGGGUGGCCAGACAAGUGGAGCUGGUAAUGCAGGUGAUCCACGGCCGAUCCAGCAUUCUGGAAACACCUCAUUAAGAUAUUCACGCACUGAAAUGGCAUAAUGGGGAGGCGCACCAUCUUGUUGAAACCAGCGUUCCUCUCUGAUACCUUUGUCAUCCAACAGGGGUAUGAACCAGGUUCGUAACAUCUGAAGGUAAUGAUGUUGGUUUACAGUUCCUUCAAAGAAAUAUAGACCGUAAAUCUGUUUGCUAUCCAAUGCAGCCCAUAUCAUUACAUGGGGAGGGUUACUCUCCACCUCUUGAUAAAAAUACAGGUUCUUUUUUGACCAAAAGACGACAUUCCGUGAAUGGGAACUCCGGUAUAUGGCACAUUCGUCGCUAAAUAUCACUUUGCCACGUUUUGGUAUUGUGUCAAAAACCUGCAGCGGUGCAUCACAUACAUCCUUCCGUCGGCGUAAAUCGUCUGACAAUUCCUGCACACACGUUGGCAGGGUUCUUACAAUCUGGACUGUCAGGGAAAGUCAGGGAAAAAUAAAUGUGUCAGGGAAAGUCAGUGAGAUAGCUAUAAAGUUAGUGAAAUGAAGUGGAAAGUAAAAUUUCGAAAAAUAACUCUGAAAGAAAUAUAUCUAAUCAAAAAACAUCAUAGGUCUGGCUAUUAGCUAUGUACAUACAUCAUCUCUAGUUGCAAUAAAUUCUGUUCCGCUCACUGUAUCUUUUGAAGGUUACUGCAGUCUUCUGCAUGCAGUAGUGAAUGAAGAUGUGAAAGUAGUAAAGAAGUUCACUAACUCGGCUUGUAUGUCUUAAGUUUUGAGAUAUAUUAAGUAUUAUGCUGUAUUUACCAUUUGUAGUGUUUUGCCAACACACUUACUAGUUUGUUUCAAAAUACAGUGGAACCCCUGAAUUACACUUUUCAAGGGGAAAACUGAAAAAGGUGUAAUUCGGAGGAAAGUGUAAUUGAGGGGAAAGUAAAAUUUUACUCAAAAUAUUCAAUUUUUGCUUAACUGUUAACAGCGUUUCUUUCACGACCACUCGCCAUUGCACGAAUAUCGCGAAAAGUAAUCAUAAACGUGAAUAAAUUAUGUGUACAACGUGUCAAUAAAGCACGAAAAUUUACGUCAAGGUAAACAAAAACAAAGCCCAAAAUCACUGGUACCAAACAAACAGAGUGGCGUGCAGUAUCUGUUGCCAACUUUUGCCAAGGAGUGAGAAACUGUAUUUGCUAUGCAGACGUGUUCCAUGGUGCUUUGAAAACUGGCACUGAAUCUGUUGGAUGGGACAUUAGUACCUUGUUGCUACACUUAUAUUUUCUUUUCCAUGAUUCUCCAGCUCGACGAGCAUUAUUUACAGAGCUGACGGGAUGCACAAUAUUUCCUUUGAAGUUCUGUAAUGUACGUUGGCUAGACAAUGCCAAGUGCCUUAAAAGAGCGUUAGAGAUAUGGGAUCAUGUUGCAAAAUUUGUUAAUGUAGCCAAGCUUCCGAAGACAAAAGUUGCAAAAACCUUGAUUGAAGCCGUUCGUGAUCCAUUUGUAAAGUGUAAAUUGGCAUUCUGCAAGACAAUUGCAGAUGAUUGUGAGCCCUUUCUUAAGAAGUUUCAAACUUCAAAACCCAUGAGUCCAUUUAUUUUUGAAGCAGUGCAAAAACUUCUGAGAGAAAUUAUGAACCGCUGUGUAAAGCCUGACGUGAUGAAGUGUACUAGCACAAAUCUGCUCUCUGUUGAUGUAAAAAAAUCAGACAAUUUGAUCCUAAGCAAUAAAGUUGAUGUUGGAUUUGCAGCAAAAUGCUUUCUUGCAGAAGUAUCAACCUCUGUAACGGAAAGAGAAAAGCUUGAGUUUAUGCAUGAAUGUUGGGGUAUGUUGACAGCCAUGACUGCCAAACUUCAAGAAAGAUGUCCUUUGAAGUACAAAGCAGUUAGAGGAUUGUCUUCUCUAGAUCCCUCGAUUAUUCAACACUCACCUUCGCUUGGUCAGAAAAGGUUUUCUUUUCUUUUAGAUGAGCUACUUGCUUCAAACAAAAUAUAUGAUGAAGUUGCAGAAAAGGCUAAAAAAGAAUACUGUAACUUGUGUGAUAUGAAGAAAACUGUACUUAGUGAAAUGUUUCAAGAAUACUGCAAAAAUAAUGAGGAGGCAAGACUCGAUAGUACCUAUGGAAACUUCAUGAGAGGAAGUGAAGUGUACAAAAACCUGUGGGAAGUUAUUAAUCUAUGUCUUGUGCUCUCCCAUGGUAAUGCAACUGUGGAAGGGGGUUUUUCAAUUAAUAAGUCACUAUUAAUUGAAAACAUGCUAGAAAAGACAGUGAUAGCACAACGCCAUAUUCAAGAUGAAGUGCAACAGGCAGGAGGGAUUGAGAAUGUGAAAAUAGAUAAAAGGAUGUUAGAUUAUGUGAAAAGUGCUCAAAAACGAUAUCAAGAUUAUUUGGAACUUAGAAAACAGAAAACAAGUGAGGAAACAACAAGAAAGGGAGAAAAGAGAUUGUUAGAAAAACAAGUGAAAGAGUUAGUAGAAGAAAGAAAAAAAUUUAUGAAGGAAAUAGAAGAAAAAAAGGAAGCAAUGGAAAGGGAAUUAAAAGAACUUAAAAAAAAAAGAGCUUUGCUGUAACUAGUAUUUCAAAUUUUUUGAAUUUAUUUGUUACAUGUUAACAUUUAGUUUAGUAAUUGAAUUACAUAUUUAUUGAAUCACAGUGUUUUGAAUUUUUUAAUAUUCAUGUCAAAAAUGGAAGUUUUAGUAAAGUUUGUGUCUGCUUUCUGAUAUUUAUAUUUAAGGUGUGGUACAGUUAGCUGAAGGAAAGGAGGAGGCCAAUAUAAUUAGGGCACUGUUAAAACAUCAAUAUUUUUUGUAAAACUGAAUUUUUUUUUCUUCGUAAUUGGUCAGGGAAGUUUCAAUGAAUGGUCAGGGAAAAGUCAGGGAAAUAAAUGUGACUCAGGCUGUAGGAACCCUGGUUGGGUGAUACGGGCGUAACUUUAAGUCAUCUUUCAUAUGCUUUCGCAAAGUGGACCGGGGCACACCCAGUUCUGCUGACCUUUUCCGUGUUGACUUCAUUGGUGACCUUUCCACAGAUGCUGCAACGUCUCUGCAUUGUUCUUCUCGUGUUGAUGGCCGACCACUUCUGGGUUUAUCCCUAACACUACCGGUAGCAAAGAGUUUUUUCUCCCACCGCAGAAGUGUUUGUAUUGGAGGUGGCUCACGUCCGAAUCGCAACUGGAGGUAUUUGGCUACUGGCAACAGUUACCAGACCAUCGCUUUUUCUUUUCGCCUGGGACGUUUAACUGUUUCCAACAUAGUGAGAGACGUUUGUCGGGAAAUAUGGAACGUUUUGCAGCCAAUAUAUAUGCCCCCUCCCACUACACAGACUUGGAAAGAAGCUGCGGAAGGUUUUUCAGCACUAUGGGGUUUUCUGAACUGUGUUGGAAGCAAAGAUGGGAAACACAUCAAAUUAAAAUACCCCAAUAACAGCGGAUCUGAAUAUUACUGCUACAAAGAUUUUUUUUUCUCUCGGCCUUCUGGCAGUGGUGGACCAUUCUACAAGUUCAUAGUAGUUGACAUCGGAAGUUAUGGACGACAUAGCGACAGUGUUAUAUUUGAGAAUUCCGCUCUCUACCGGCAGUACAUUGAUGGAAACACUAUUCUCCCUCCAAAGCCAUUACCUGGCACAAAUACUCCUAUGCCUCAUGUCAUCGUCAGCGACGAAGGCUUCGCACUUCAAACGUACCUUAUGAGGCCGUAUCCUAAAGUUGGAAUGAUCAAUCCUAAAAAAAAAAUGUUUCAAUUCACAGCUCAGUCGAGCCCGUCGUGUCGUGGAAAAUGCGUUCGGUAUAUUGGCCAUGAAAUGGCGUGUAGUUUUGAGACCAAUAGAAACAGGUGUCUCAAUUGCAGAUUGCGUAGUUAAAGCUGCUACCUGUUUGCAUAACUACAUUAUAAUGAAGAAUAAUGUUCAAGUAGAAUAUUCAGCGAAUGAUCUAACCCUUUAAAGGUCAGGGGAAGAAAAUUGUUUUUGUACUCAGUUGUUUGGUGGUUUCCUGAGCUGACCACCCUUCUUUGUCUCCGUAACGCAAAAUAUAUUUUUUAUUUUUUUUCCCUAAAUUUAUUUGUUUUAUUUUGUAGCUGACAUAUUUCUGAAAGUCUGUUAGCCAUUUAAAAUAUUAUCUACUACUCAAAUGUAAGAUAUGCAACUAUUAAGGGUGGUUACCCCUGAUAACCACCAUUCAUUUAGUAAUAUAAACAGCAGCUUACACUGAAGUGAUGUCGAAAUGUUUGGUGGUUACUCCUGGUAACCACCAAAUAUUUUUGAUUUUAAAAAUAUUUUAUUUGACUCUAAAAUUAAAAAAUGUGUUUUUUUGUGGUUAUUACAUUGCCUGAUGGAUUUACAAACAAUUUUUCAACUCUAUUUAUUUUUAAUUAUGUAGGCCUACAGUAUUAAUUUCACAACAGAUCCUAAAUACAUUAUUGUUAUGAAUACAGUGCAAGUAAAACGGAACUAAAAUGUGCAAUUUAAAAUAUGGGUUUUACAGCAAAUAAUUUUACACCAAAUAACUGACAAAAUAUCAAAAAAUUCUUAAUCUACAAUUGCAACAAGGAUUAAAAUGUAAUACAUAUAUAUUGAUCAAUGUAACUAUGACAGUUCUGUAAAUAUGUAAUGUACAAAGAUUAGCACUUUUCAAGUUGAGGGCUUACUCAUUUUCUCAUGAAAUAGUUCAAAGCAGGGUAUUUUACAGAGAGCCACAUCACAAAUUUUACAUGAAAGACUGCUUCUGACAGGUUUACUUUUUGUACUGCAGUUGGCACAUCUUCUUGAGGUUCCUUUUACAGACAAAUGACCUUCUGUCUGCGGAACAAAUACUGUUGGACGUAAAGAAAAAUUUUUUUUCGUUACGACCACUCUUUGCUUUUUCUGCUUCCUAUUGCAAAAAUCAGCAAUUAAUUCAUCAGCAAGUCUGCUUCGAAACAGGAGAUGGCUAAUGGGUUUCUUUUGUUGUCGCUUCAUUUCUAAUUUGUAUAGUACAAAAGAAUUUACUAUGGCUGCAUCAAUAAGAUAAUAAAACACUUUAACCCACCACCUCCGAGACUUCAAUUGAAUACUAUAAUAUGACAUAUACUGGUCAAACAUGUCGAUCCCUCCCAUGUAUUUGUUGUAUGUUGAAACCGAUAUUGGACUUUGAUGUCUUCCUUUGUACCAGAUUUGUUUUUACGUUUUAUGGUGCAUGUUUCAGCUGGAUCAUCCAUUGAACUCAAGACACAAACAGCCCUCGUGCCUCUAUCCUUCCAUUUCACAAUUCUCAUUUCUUUUGUUGAAACAAAAUCAUGUUCUCCAAGCUGCAAAUUUUGUCUUUUUUCAAAAGAUCUUUGGGAAAAUGUUUCUUUGUCUGUAACAUGGUACUACAACAAAAAAUUCCUUUCAUCAAAAGCUUUUUACCUAAUCUAAAACUAGAAAAAAAAAUCUAUAAAAAAAGACAAUAACCAAGAGAUUCGAAUCCACGCACCAAUCCUCCUAAAGGUCCCUCGCAAACUGUAGUUUUUCCUGCAUUAAAUUCGAAUCCUAACAUGUAACCUGUUACAGCACAGCAGAUUACCCAUAUUUUGAAACCUAUUUUAAUUGGUUUCAUUGGCAUGUAUUGCUUGAAAGAGGACCAACCUUUGAAAGCAAUCAUGCUCUCAUCAAUAGACAAAUAUCUAGUAGGGUCAAACAUUUUUCUAAAAACUUCAUUAAAGUGGUCCAGAAAAGGUCGCACUUAAUAUAAUUUGUCAAAAUUUGGACUGUUUCUUUCCGGCAUUUUACUAUUGUCAUUGUGGUGUAGCAUACGCAAAAUUAACAGAAAUCUUUUCUGUGGCAUUAUUUUCGAAAUCCUUUCAUUACCGAAAUUUAGGUUCGAUGACCAAUACAAACGUAGUGAUGGCAACUGAUUGAAUCCCAUUAUCACUAAUAUGCCAAUUAAAGCAUUGAUUUCGGAAACUUGACAUUUCUAAGCACUGACCUUUCUGUUGACUGUACAAAACAGUUUGUUGUACAAUCAUUUCCGCAACUUUUAUGUUAAAAAACAAGAAAAAAUUGGAAGAAAAACUGUUUGUGUUUAUAUUUACUUUAGCUCCAACAUGCUGGUCAAAUUUUGUUUGUUCGUAAUGAGAUUUUAUUUUAUGGCUCUCAAAAGCUUUUCCUCAUUUUGGUACAAAAUCAUCUUCCUCACCUUCAUUUUUAUUUUCAUGGAGUAUAUUCUCUUCUGGAUUUUCAUCCGAAAAAACUCCUUCCUCUGCUGGAUCAUCACAUUCAAAAUUAUUUGCAGGAUCUUCAGCAUAUGUAGAAGCUGCUGCAUCUAAGUAAGUUGCAUUACUUGUGGAAAGAUCUACACUCAAAACAUCUGAAGAAUUCUGCCAAAGUGUACUUCCUCUGCAAUCAAGCACAAACAUAUUUAUAGAGCCUGUAAAUAAUGUAGAUAUAAAUAUUUAAAAAUAUUACAAUUGUAGAAAUGGUAUACCUUCUUGGUCGCUUUUCUGCUGGCUCCGUAGAUGCAGUAACUUGCAACAUGUCAUCUGCAUCACUAUCUCCACCUUCUUCAGAAUUACAUGCCUGGUCGUCAUCCAACAGAUCAAACCUUCUGAGGACUUCGUUGAAAUCAAGACCUUCCAACUCAGACAGUGGGACAGUUAUUGACUUUAUUUUUCUGUGAAGUAAUAAUUUACUUCUACCAAGCAUACAUUUAGCCUUAUGAAUUUCUUAUGGUACGUAAGGCUAAAUAUAACAUAUAUAUAUUAUUUCACAGUAAGUAUCAUUUUAAUUUAUUUUAUUCAAAGUAGUACAUCUACAUUUUAUUUCUAGUAAUGAAAAAAUGUCCUGAAUAAUUGAGCAAAACAAGGCACUGGUUUACUCUCAACAUCUAAGCCAGAAACUAAUAUACUGCAUAUUAGUUAUUAAGAUAUAAUAUAUGAUAUUGAAAUAUUCAAAUAAAUGCAUUACAUAUCAAAAAAUAUUUGUACAAAUACUGAUAACC